This 394-nucleotide ribosomal RNA is filed under the name uncultured bacterium. RNAcentral's name for it is "partial 16S ribosomal RNA". It matches the Rfam family "Bacterial small subunit ribosomal RNA", at positions 523 to 918 of the family's 1533-position model. The record is from RNAcentral.
CUACGUAGGGAGCGAGCGUUGUCCGGAAUUACUGGGCGUAAAGGGCGCGUAGGCGGCGCUUCAAGUCGUCUGUCAAAUGGGAGGGCUUAACCCUUUUUCGCAGACGAAACUGGAGAGCUUGAGAAGCAGAGAGGCAAACAGAAUUCCUGGUGUAGCGGUGAAAUGCGUAGAUAUCAGGAAGAAUACCAGUGGCGAAGGCGGUUUGCUGGCUGCAUACUGACGCUGAAGCGCGAAAGCCAGGGGAGCAAACGGGAUUAGAUACCCCGGUAGUCCUGGCAGUAAACGAUGUAUGCUGGGUGUGAGACUAGCGAUAGUUUCGUGCCGAAGUUAACGCGAUAAGCAUACCGCCUGGGGAGUACGGUCGCAAGAUUGAAACUCAAAGGAAUUGACGGGG